AAAAGCAGAAUAUACCUAAAAUCCUGAUGUUUGUUUGUAUUUCUGUAGCACCAAAUCAUGGACCAGGACCCCAUUGUGCUAUGAAAGUUGUGUUUUAAAGCUACACUGUCAAGAAACUUUGGAUACCAGAAUUUUUCUUGAAAUAGAAGAUGCAUCUGGAACUUCAUUUCUGCUGAGAAUAGAACCCUGUGCAGAGAGCCUACACAAGGCCUAGUCACCAUUUUAAAUCACACUUAAGCCCUAUUUGGAGGAUUUAAUGUGACUAAGGAGGUGCAUAGGCCUUGUCCAGAGGGCCAGCCCAAGGAGAAUUUUCUCUAAAAAUGAGAGGAAAUAAGCACAGACCAAGGCCUGUCAUUAGUGGUUUUGAACACCUCUGUUUUUUGGUUGUCUAGCUUGAAACAUUUGAAAGAAGGCCUGGUUUUCAGAAAUUUCUGGGCACACAUCCUAUGAAAUUUACGCCACUUUGGGGAGAAUCAGUUUCGGCACGGAGAUCACUAAUCGCUUUUGACAAGACUGGCUAUAACUUUUAUGUAGAACCCCAACUGCUAGGGGGUAUAGUGGGGACAAUGUCAAAAAGGGUAAGGCACAAAAUUAGUUACAUCUAAUAAGGGACAUAAGGCAAUAAGAAGAGAUCAGUCAGUCUAACUUCAAAAGGUUAGGAAACUAGGAAGAUACUGGAAUGAUUUAAUAAACAAUCCAUUUGUAAGCACCUAGAGGAUAAUAGGAUUAUAAGGAAUAGUUAGCAUGGAUUUGUCAAGAACAAAUCAUGCCAAACCAACCUAAUUUCUUUCUUCUAUAGGUUUUUCUGGCCUAGUGGAUCGGGGGGAAGCAGUAGACGUGAUGUAUUUUGAUUUUUAGUAAGGCUUUUGAUGCUGUCCCACAGGACAUUCUCAUAAGCAAACUGGGGAAACAUGGUAUAGAUUAAUUUACUACAAGUAAGGUGCACAACUGGUUGUAAAACCAUAAUCAGAGUUAUCAUCAAUGGUUCACGGUCAGAUUGGGAGGGUGUAUCUUAAAGAGUUCCGCAGGGGUCAGUCCUGGGUCCAGUACUAUUCAAUGUUUUUAUUUUAAUGACCUGGAUAAUGGGAU
Dermochelys coriacea (leatherback sea turtle) is the source of this 1089-nucleotide long non-coding RNA. RefSeq lists it as uncharacterized. The transcript is spliced from 2 exons. The record is from RefSeq and is a predicted model, not a curated record. NCBI's taxonomy places the organism in Eukaryota, Metazoa, Chordata, Testudines, Dermochelyidae.